Molecule: long non-coding RNA, 5325 nt
Filed under: Brachypodium distachyon (stiff brome)
Lineage: Eukaryota; Viridiplantae; Streptophyta; Magnoliopsida; Poales; Poaceae
Description: long non-coding RNA (BDIS_LNC001072)
Source: RNAcentral
ACAGGAAACCGCAUCAAAUCAAUCCGAUUAAGACACUCGAGGGGCAACAAUCUGGCAUUAGAGCUGAUACACCAGAACAUAAGUGUACUUUUUCAGUCGGCAAUGUUUUCUUUACGUUUUUCGCAAUUUUAUGGGUGAUGUUUUGGUCUUGAGAGUACCAGGAGCAUGCACCCGAUACUUCUCAGUGGUGGUGAUUUGUUGAGUUGACAAGCUGCUCCUGCUGGUAAAUUCGAUGACAGCCAAAACUUUACAGGUUUUUGUCUUGUGAUCACGUUCCUCAAUUGUUUUUUUAGGGAAAGCUUUAGGUCAUAGACCUAUAGCAUUUUGUUGCUGAAAUCCCUCCUUUGGAGCAUUCACAAAUAAGUUGUGGAGGCCAGUGAUCUAGGUCCUGAUAUUUCUGGCAUCCCCUGCAGUGGUCCAUUCCCCUGCAAAUUCUGAUGGCCAAGCAACCCGGGAAGGUCUAAUAUGAAGACUCUGCCAUAUCCAUAAGGUCAAUGUUCUUCUUCCAGUCUGCAAUUCAGUACUGCAAUUACAGAACAUUAAAAUCACCAUCAGUUGUUUGCCGACCUGAUACUGAACCGAUCAGACGGAGCUGAUCGUUUCAUGCCGAGAUAAGUAUAUUUUUCGUCCCACAACUGCAGGAAGUGUAUAUUUGGUUUCUAAUUUUUUUCAUAGAUAUUUCGUCCCUCAACUGUCUAAAGUGAACAUUUUUUGUCAAACGACCCACACUUUUUUUCUGGAUAAAGAGAGCUUUUAUUGAACUUAGAGGUCUCAUCAAGAAGAUACAUCAAGUAAAGUUCACACACAGUCUCUACAUAACAAGAUGCACAUAGGCUAACAAACCAAAAGAGAAGAAAAACUGCAAAUGCCUUUAUACGACCAACAAAAAAAAUGCACGACGGAGCCUGCAGCUGAAGAUUAAGUUGUCACUCAUUGUGGAUAAAAACCUCCCGAGCUCACUCUACUUCUCACUACAGUAACGCUAAGAAACAGAGCCAAUGACUAUAUUGAAAGAUAACCAGCAUAGGAGAUUGUCUGUUAUUAAAAAUAAUGACGUUCAUAGCCAAAUCGACCGGAGAAAAUCACCAUUGCUCCAACGAAAAUCUUAACUCUAAACUUACCGCCUAUGCCAUGUAGCUAUUUCACAUAUGUCCAUCCGCCGGUAGCACACGCUCACGUCGCCAGUCUCCGUUUCUCGUGGCACCCACUUCCGAAGGAGAAGUGACGGCUCAUGCUCCGGAUCCUAGACAUUAUUGAUAACGAGUAGGAAAAUGAGGAGAAGAGGGCCAUCCACAAAGAAGCGAAUGAGCAAGCAGAUAAGCAAGAGAGGGCGGAACCAACCACAUAGAUUGAGAGAGCAGAAAUGUUUGCUUUUGACCGUUGAGAACCGAAAUGUCUACGGAAAAUAAGAGAUCAGUUAUAUAUUCUCGUGACAGCUGGUGAUGAAAAAUAUAACUCCCUCUUUCUCACCGCGGCAAGUAAUAAACACUGAGGCAGGCGUCAGUCGCCCGACCACCGUCUGAACGACACUUACUAAGGAUCCAGAAUGCAGUGUAGAUCCAUCACUGCAGCAACUGUAAUACUUUCUGCCAAGGCACUCAUUGCAAGCAAUUGGGACCAGUUCUUGCUAAUGGCAGUAGCUGGUCAAUUUUGGCAAAGCAACGGUUAGCGGUUUUUCCUGGUGUACGACGCUAUGCUAACCGAUCCUGUCAUUCUGAUGGGUGCUUGCAGUGUUCUCUACCGGUGAUCGGUAGGAUGCCGGCAUGGACAUUUCUUCCAGAAACGUCAAAUCCGGCGUGCCGUGCCCGUGCUCAUGUAUCUCUUCAUCAAGGACAGGGAAAGCGACUGAAUGUUGCGACAUUGCCAAGUGAAAUACUCCCUCUGAUCCAUUCGGCCACCCUCUAAGACUGAAGGAAUCUAAGCGUAGAGGAUGACAAAUUCUCUUGGUGUGCCGCAGGAGAGAUUGGCAGGUGAUGUUUCACCUUAACAAGUGAAGUGAAAUACUUCCUCUGAUCCAUAAUAAGUGUCUUGGAUUUAGUAAAACUUUGUACUAAGUUAGUACAAAAUCUGAGACACUUUGUUAUGGAUCUGAGGAAGUAGAUCUUUUCUUUAUCCAAUGUUGGUAUCACCUUCUGAAUACUUGACCUGAGCCGGUGUCUGAAUUUUCGUACUGUGAACAGUAGUAAAUUACUCCCAUCUCUUUAUGCUUUCAAAUUCAAGUUCACUGCUAGCAAGUGCAGGUGGAGUAAAUUUUAGCAUGUACACUGAUGUAGUGGAGGUGAUGUAACUUCUAGCAUUUACUGGUGUAAAACACAGGAGAUGUCCUACUGUCAGCGAUGCAUGCAACUGCCUGUUGCACUUUAAUUUUGUUGGCUUGCAUAACAGUGGAUCUCAGGACAGACAGUGUGUCAGGCUGCCCCAAAAAAUAACCAACUCCGUUGGUCCUUCCCACAAUAUAGAAGUGAUAUGGACUUGUCUCAUGCCUCAUCUUCGCUUUUGGUCAAAGAAAGGUCUAAACCUAAUUCAGGCCCAAAAUUAUUGCACUCUCUUACAUACAAAUCACAUGCUACCAUUUUGCUAAGAGAGGAAAUAAGACGAAAAAAAUUGAAUUUGUAGAAGCUCCUAGAUAAGUAAUGGCAUGUCGAAAAGCUGAUUUUGGGUUUUAUUCUUUUACAAGUGUACUGGAGUGUUACUGCAAAGAGUAGAAUCUGGAUGAUGUUUUCUAGUACAUGAGGAAAAGUGCAAUACAUGUAUGUCACAGUCCGAUAAAAAAGGAUAGCGACAUAUCACCUGAAAGUAGUAGCAUACAGAUGUAUAUUUCUCCAGGGUGCCAGCUCUCACUUUUGGAGUUGCUUUCUUUGCCUUGCUUUACCAGAGCAAUCUAUCAUCUGUCAUGCCUCCUCCUAGAUUUACUCAAAGAUCACUUCUUCCCAUUUUUUGUUUUAUCCUAAACACUUUCAAGUAAUCUAAAUUAUCCUCUAACCAAGGAAUCCUCAUGGAUCAGGCAGCACAGUCAGUUUGCCAACUUAAACUCCUAUUGGCUACCUGAUCUUCUUUUUUUCACAUAUCAAGAUCAAUGGCAUAAAUGAAAAAAUAAAAUAAAAGGAAAGAAAAUAACAUAACUCAGAAAAGCAAAGGACAAAAGCAAGCAUGGCUCACUUGCUUGCCCUGCCCCCUACAUUAGCCCCUUUCAAAAGCACAUCAGAAGCAGCUGGAGAAGAAGAAAGAAAACUCAAGAAGAAAACAAGGAGCAAGAAACACAAGUUCUACCACUGACUCCACAAUAUAAUGUGCUGAGACAGAGAGGAAACCUCACACUCACAUUUGGGUUCUUGCACUUGCAUUGCACCAGCAAUAUCCCAUGAGAAGCUCAUAGAGGGGGUGCAGUGCCAAGCAACCGAUAGGCAGGAGAUACCAUGAGGACUGCGAAGCCGGCAUCGACAGCAACAUUGGUGAUGUUGUUUGGAGGCCUUGUUCUGGUAUCAUUGAUGGUGGAGGCAAGCGCGAAACCAUCAUCUCCGGUGAGCGCUGCUGAUGCAGUAGUAGGCGGUAGGAGGAUGAUGACCGGGGUUAAUGGAGGAUUGUCUCAGAAGACACCGGAGGAACUCAAGGCUGAUGAUCCUUUGAGCAGCAGCAAGAGGCGGGUGCCCAAUGGACCGGAUCCAGUCCACAACAGGUACUUCGUUUUCUUGCAUGCAAGAAUGCAAUGUUCUGCUCCUUGUUCUUCUCCGUCCUUCUCUUGUUUGGCAUUCCAAAUUUCCAACUUUCCAUGGAUCCAAGGAAAGUUUCAUUUUCACACCAAAACUGACAGAGAAGAACAAAAUAUACAAUUCUUAUGGCUAAUGUCCCAAUCUUUUAGGUUUUUUAGGAAAGUCUCAUUUUUUCAUGGAUCUUGCUUGUUGAAGAAUUCUUUAGGUUUUGCACAAGCAUUUAUCUAAUAUGUCAAAGAAAUUUUUAUUUAAAUAAAUUUUACGAAAAACAGUAGGAGAAAAUUGGUAUUAAAUUCAUGGCUCCAGAUUAUUGUUGUGGUCCUUUUAUGUUUAGACAAACUACCUUCUAAAUAUAAAUCAACACCACUCUCACAUGUCAUCGCCGAGUAUGAGUUUACUCUUUUUUAUUGAGUGAAGCAUUAUAUGUCCAAAUAUAAGGUGCUUUGAUUUUGAAGGCAUAGUUCAAAUUGUGUUUAACAUAAAUGCAUGAUAAGCUUAAUUCAAGAGAUGAGGCAAAGCUUUUGCCUCCGUUUCAGGAAAAAAAACAUGAUAAGGAUAACAACAUGACAACAAUAACAAAAUAUGGCUACACUGCUUGUUCUCAUUACACCAACAUUUUCCAGUGAUGACUGCAUUCUAACCUUUUAACAAAGGCAAGCUACUACUCAUACUUCCCUAAAGAUUUCCCUGUAUGCACUUAUCAUACUUGGAAUGAUUAGCCAACAUGCAUCUGUAGCAACUGAAAACAUGCAUCUGAAGCAGUCAAACAAAGUACACUGUGCAAUGGCAUUGUUAAUUAGCUAUCAUAACUUAAUGAAAAGCCAAAUAAUGCAGUAAAGAUCACCUUGAACAUAACAACUUGAAGGGUUGUUCCAAUGCUCGCCUGUCCUUUCAUGUUAAAAUGCUCAUUACUCUGUAUUCUUCAGGGGAGCUGGAGAGUCAGGACGAUCGCCCGGCAGAGCGUAGGAGCGACACGCGCCCCGACAAGCAGAAGCUUCUGAAGUGCUUGUGUUGGAUCAGAUCAUUGUGUUGAAAGAGGAAAGGAAAAAACAGGAGUUCCAUUUUGUGGUGGGUCUGGCAGGGAUGCUGGUGUAACUAGGGGAAGGUGGCCUAUCUUGUUCUAAGCACUGCUAUUUAAGACGAUUUUAGGCAUAAAAGCUUUUGCUUUUCCAAAAUCAAAAGCCAUUCUACUGAUGGAGGUUUGUAAAGAGAGCAGUAGCAAGCUUCCCUCUCACAAAAAUCAGCUAUCAAAGGUUCUUGGGUAGAGGGAUAUGGGCAAGAUCAUCUCAUUACUUUGAGCUGUUGCUUUGCACAUGUUUCCUAUUUGUUGUAUUGAUUAGGAAAGCACAUUGCACGUUUCCUAUAGAGGAACAGGUAAAGAUAAGAUGAGCAAUAAUAUCAAGGUUUUGUUUCUUAUCUUGUGGUGAGAUCUGAAAUCCAUUGCAGCCUGUGCCCUAGCAACAAAGCAAAGUAGACCCACUUACUGUUAAAGAUGCUUUUGAUUCUUAUGAUUAACAUGUUCCACUUGCAGAUGAUCUUACCAUUUGCUAGCAACAGGAAAUUUGUUUUGAGGAAUCUGUGCCAGCUUCUAAAGCUUGGUUACAUAAAACUACUA